Melitaea cinxia (Glanville fritillary) is the source of this 431-nucleotide long non-coding RNA. RefSeq lists it as uncharacterized. The record is from RefSeq and is a predicted model, not a curated record. Lineage: Eukaryota; Metazoa; Arthropoda; Insecta; Lepidoptera; Nymphalidae. The transcript has 2 exons.
AAACAAACAACUGCCGUAUACACUUGUUUACAAAUGCCAUGUUUAUCCGAUGCAUUGAUAUAAAUAUAAAUUUUUUUAUUUUGUUCGGUUAUAUAACCUAAGACAUUGAGUAAAAUGUUAUCAUGUAAAAAAAUGACAAUUAUGAAUUGACUUUGUCCUAAUUUUGAACGCUGUAAUUGAGGAAUUUAAUUUUCAACUCCCAAAUAAAAUGAUUGAGGAUUAUUAUCCGAUUCUGUUGUAUAGUUCAAAAUAUGUUUACGCGAUAUGAAAUUUAUCUGCCUUCUCAAUUCGGUCGAGUUAUCAGCGGGCCGCUCGAAGUGGCCUACGUGACUAGCGGCCCCCUCGUAGUGGCGUCGUGGCGCCAAGCGAAUUACUGCCUUAUCGACAUUUAAAGCAGUUUCUCUUAAUACAAAUAAAAAUUAUACAAACGG